UCUAUCGUAUAUAAACCUACAUCUACUUUGUGAUUUAAGUAGAAGCGUAAUGGUCGUGUUAAAGAAAAUCGUCUCUUAUACAAUUUUCAUAACGGCCGCGAAUUCGCAUAACCGUAAUAAUACGGCCCGUCAAAAGGGAGAAGUUUAUUAUGCGCCAUAAAUGGACUUAAAGUGCGGACAGUCUAACAGUAAGUGCUCCGCUCCUGGAAAACGAAAAAUGGCGUCUUACAUACCCUAAUGGAAUUUCGGUAUAAGUUCAAACGACGCAUCGGAAUUACACGUUACACGGAAGAUCAGUGGCCCGUGAACCAGUUGUGUUCUACAGUGUGACAUUUAUACGUGGAAAGUAUGAAAAACUUGUUUAAAAAAUACAACUUCUUUCUUCUGCUACAUGUGACAAUGGCCUACAAGAUACCUGUGAUUGAAACGGGAAACGAUAAAAUUUAUAGAGCGAUCCAUAAACUUAUGGCAGUAUACUAUAGGGAUACUCAUAACAUAAUUGGUAUACAAGGAAAUAAUUCCAAACUGUUUAAUGAUAUUUUGCCUCAUAAACAAUUUUACAUACCCAAACUGAUAGCAAAAAAUAGUACCUUUGUCAAGUGGGAGGAACAAGUUCAAGGACUCAUUAUUUUUCUGGACGAACUGUAUACUUUUGAAAAAAUUAUACGAGGUUGGACGUCCUGUCAUUUUUGGAAUUCUAAUGUAAAAUUUCACAUAAUCACUGAAAUUACUUCAGCGAACAUUUCCCAAGCAGCGUGCAACAUUAUGCGAAAGUACAAGGCGGCAAGAGCUGUGCUGGUUCAGAUUCUGACAGUUGAUAUUAAAUUAUACAAAUGCGAUUUAUUUAAGAAUCGAGUGGUUUCCCUUGACGAAGCUGAAUUAACCAACGGGAGAGUUUUCAAAAAUAUUCUUCAAUUACACGGAUACCCUGUGAAAGUGACCGGUCCAAAUGUCAGAAACUCCAGGAUGAGGUACAAAUCGUCAAAUAUCGAAGAGCAGUAUAUGCAGAUAAUUAUUAAUAAGUUGAACGCGAGCAUUAUUGCAGUGCCAUGGCAACAGACACCCUCUAACUCGUUGAGUCAGUUGAGCCAUCAGUCAGACUUCCUGCACAUCUUUAAAUUAAACAUGACCGAUAUAUUAUUCGUGAGCACUUUCGUCCAUACGAAUAAUCCAUAUUAUCAGCAUACGUAUCCACACACGGAUUCUAAGAUAAUCCUGAUGGUACCAAAGUCCGGUGCGAUAUCCCGAUUAAAAGUUCUUCUGCAGCCAUGACAUCACUCCACCUGGUUAUUGUGCUUGGGAGGAGUAAUAGCAAGUGGUGCUAUCUGGUUGCACAUUCGACGACGGGGAAAACGGCUUGUAGGUGGCGACAUCUUCUCCGUAGUGAGUCUUUCGAUCUUGCUAAGAAAAGACCUGAGCACCUUCUACGAUAAAUGCUUCUUCAUAUACAUAGCCGUGCUUGGGAUAGUCAUGAAGCACACGUUCCAAGUGUUUCGUCAUAUAAAGUACAUAAGCUUGGAGGACGAGGAAGACCUGUCAGCUGGUCUAUAUAGAAAAUACAAUCCCAGGAGUAUGUACGAAGUGGCGAAAAAGUUGAAAAUGAAUGACAAUAGCGAAGCUUAUGCAAUUUCACGUGAUGACGCAAAGCGGCUGCAGCAGAAACGAGAGCACAGAAGUCCAACGGGUGUUCCUUACUUUCAUCAAAUGAACAUCAAUGUUUUACCGACCCUCGAAAGCUUCGCCGUGAACUACGGUUCCCCAUAUCUCGAACGUGUCAAUCAGCUUAUCUUGCAGAUCAAAUCAGCUGGUCUUGAAGUUCAUUGGAAUUCUAUAUCGUUUGUCGAAGAGAGUCGAAAGCAUUUGAAAGGGCAGAAUGCCGUGCAAUUGUCAAUGGAGCACAGUGCAAUUGUUUUCUCUUUUCUCAUAAUCGGUCUUACUAUGAGCACACUGGUCUUCUUAGGAGAGAUUGUUUAUUUUAAUUCUAAAAGUAAAAGAAGUUUUAUACAUUGAACCAGUCACGUGAAUGUCAAUGCACGUGUUCCGCGAGUCUAAAUCAAAUGCCUUUUUCUCAAUAAUUGGUCUCGUACUUGGAAUGUACACAAGGAGCUAGUAGUCUACCUCCAGUAUGGCAUCCGUCCUGGAAUGCAUUCCAAUUCGAUAGACAGUGCAAUAUUCUUGCUCCAGUGGGGCAAUAUUCCAGUCCACUUCACCAUGCCGAGGAAAACAAGACUUUCAUUACUCGCCGUCAAAGCCGUCUGAGCGAGCAGAAUAAUGCAAAUCGUGCAUAAGGCCUCUGGCUUAAUGCUACACUGUUAAUGAAAAAAAAAGACUGUGCCCAGAGCGUGCCACUCAAUGUGUGCGAUUGAGAGCCGUUCGUUUUCUACCAAUCUGCAGAGUCUGCCCGGACUGCCGCUAGUUAACGAUACUGGGCUAAAGACAUUUCCAGGAAGGAAGCCACUUUCUAGAGAGUUUCACGGAAAUGUCAGAGGAAUUGAUAUCCUGAAGAAAAGUUGCGAGGAAAUUGUAAAAAUUCAAACCAUCAAUGUUUUACAAAAUACUAACCUCUACUGUAUCUAUAAAUUGAUCGAUAGUAAUCUAUAUAUUUAUCUAGAUACAACCAUUACGUUAAUUACGUAAAAGUGAAAUUAUUGCAUCGACUGUUAUUCAUAGAACAAAGUAACUUCUGAUUGGUGGCACUACAGGCGUUCGAUAAUAUAAUUGGACUCUAUUGUGGUUCAGUAACGGAGACCGUGCGAUCGACGCCCUGGUCUUGUUAUUGUGCGCUGUCGUUACUGGAAAUAUCUAGACUUCAUGUGCAUCUCUAAUUUCCAAGGAACCUUUUACGCCCACUGAAUACAGGACUAUAGGACUGGAUCGAAUUCAAUCC
Molecule: RNA transcript, 2887 nt
Organism: Cephus cinctus (wheat stem sawfly)
Lineage: Eukaryota; Metazoa; Arthropoda; Insecta; Hymenoptera; Cephidae
Exons: 2
Source: RefSeq, a predicted model, not a curated record